RNAcentral lists this ribosomal RNA (459 nucleotides) under uncultured bacterium. Its description in RNAcentral is "partial 16S ribosomal RNA". It matches the Rfam family "Bacterial small subunit ribosomal RNA", at positions 338 to 795 of the family's 1533-position model. The record is from RNAcentral.
CCUACGGGAGGCAGCAGUGAGGAAUAUUGGUCAAUGGGCGCGAGCCUGAACCAGCCAAGUCGCGUGAGGGAAGACGGUCCUAUGGAUUGUAAACCUCUUUUGUCGGGGAGCAAAAGACGCCACGCGUGGCGUUCCGAGAGUACCCGAAGAAAAAGCAUCGGCUAACUCCGUGCCAGCAUCCGCGGUAAUACGGAGGAUGCGAGCGUUAUCCGGAUUUAUUGGGUUUAAGGGGUGCGCAGGCGGAAGAUCAGGUCAGCGGUAAAAUUGAGAGGCUCAACCUCUUCGAGCCGUUGAAACUGGUUUGCUUGAGUGAGCGAGAGGUAUGCGGAAUGCGUGGUGUAGCGGUGAAAUGCAUAGAUAUCACGCAGAACUCCGAUUGCGAAGGCAGCAUACCGGCGCUCAACUGACGCUCAUGCACGAAAGUGUGGGUAUCGAACAGGAUUAGAUACCCGGGUAGUC